GCCGUUGGAUCAGUUUCG
This 18-nucleotide ribosomal RNA is filed under the name Histomonas meleagridis. RNAcentral describes it as "partial small subunit ribosomal RNA". Lineage: Eukaryota; Parabasalia; Tritrichomonadida; Dientamoebidae. The record is from RNAcentral.